This 818-nucleotide long non-coding RNA is filed under the name Anas platyrhynchos platyrhynchos (common mallard). Its description in RNAcentral is "lncRNA (ENSAPLG00000019096.1)". The record is from RNAcentral. Lineage: Eukaryota; Metazoa; Chordata; Aves; Anseriformes; Anatidae.
AGGUGCUUCACUAAUAGUUUAUUAAAAAUGACCCGUUGCAAGAAUUGUCUUAUCUAGUGCAGUUUUUUUUUAGAUGUUGUAUUAUAAAAACAAUUUUAUUUCAGUGUGUGAUGCCUUCAAAGUCACUGUAUCAUCUGGUAAGUUAAGAAUUGAUCUGCAUUUCUGCUGCAGAACUCAGAACUGAAUUUUAGUGGUCAUGUUCAUGCAUCUGCACAGUUGAAGAGUAAGAUAUAUGGAUCUGCUGCCUCUGACUUGAUUCUACAUAAAAUUCAAGUGGGAAGCAAAGAUGGCAGUAGCCACCGGUGUCACAGCAGAGUGACCCUUGCUAUAUAACAAGUUGUUAGCAACUGAAAUUACUUCCUGCACCUGAUGAAGGCACAAGAGGGUGAAGGCUGGGUUUUGCCCAUGUCUCAAGCGUUAUUAAGUGUGACCAUCUGAACUAAGGCCUAUAAGCUGAGGUAUUCAACCAUGUGAGGGCAGAAGAUGCAUUGCUCUUGAGCUUGGAUGAGGUGAUCCAUGAAUAUUAACUACCUGUCUUCUUCCAGCAAGGGGAAAUGCCAGCUGUUGAAGAACUGGAUUCUGGGGUGAAGUCAGAUUGUUGGUGUAAUACUGUCUGUAAUUUCUUGGCAGUGCUCUGUCUUUCACACACUGUGAUUCAAAGGGCAGCGAAGGAAAGAAGGCAGUGGAGGCUGGGUGAAUCGCUGGCAUGGAGUAGAGAAGCUUCAACCUCCAGCCUCCUGCAAAGAUGUCUGUGUCCAUUCCUAAGAGUACAGAUAAAUCCCUUAAAGAAAUCUCUAUACACACAAAAUAUCUCUUAA